AGAGUUUGAUCAUGGCUCAGAGCGAACGCUGGCGGCAGGCCUAACACAUGCAAGUCGAACGGGCCCUUUCGGGGGUCAGUGGCAGACGGGUGAGUAACGCGUGGGAACGUGCCCAUCGGUUCGGGAUAACCCAGGGAAACUUGGGCUAAUACCGGAUACGCCCUUUUGGGGAAAGAUUCAUUGCCGAUGGAUCGGCCCGCGUCUGAUUAGCUAGUUGGUGAGGUAACGGCUCACCAAGGCGACGAUCAGUAGCUGGUCUGAGAGGAUGAUCAGCCACACUGGGACUGAGACACGGCCCAGACUCCUACGGGAGGCAGCAGUGGGGAAUAUUGGACAAUGGGCGCAAGCCUGAUCCAGCCAUGCCGCGUGAGUGAUGAAGGCCCUAGGGUUGUAAAGCUCUUUCGUCCGGGACGAUAAUGACGGUACCGGAAGAAGAAGCCCCGGCUAACUUCGUGCCAGCAGCCGCGGUAAUACGAAGGGGGCUAGCGUUGUUCGGAAUCACUGGGCGUAAAGGGCGCGUAGGCGGCUUUGUAAGUCGGGGGUGAAAGCCUGUGGCUCAACCACAGAAUUGCCUUCGAUACUGCAUGGCUUGAGACCGGAAGAGGUUAGUGGAACUGCGAGUGUAGAGGUGAAAUUCGUAGAUAUUCGCAAGAACACCAGUGGCGAAGGCGGCUGACUGGUCCGGUUCUGACGCUGAGGCGCGAAAGCGUGGGGAGCAAACAGGAUUAGAUACCCCCGUAGUCC
This 744-nucleotide ribosomal RNA is filed under the name uncultured Microvirga sp. RNAcentral describes it as "bacterial SSU rRNA". It matches the Rfam family "Bacterial small subunit ribosomal RNA", at positions 8 to 796 of the family's 1533-position model. The record is from RNAcentral. Lineage: Bacteria; Pseudomonadati; Pseudomonadota; Alphaproteobacteria; Hyphomicrobiales; Methylobacteriaceae.